Non-coding RNA from Vicugna pacos (alpaca), 173 nucleotides. The record is from RefSeq and is a predicted model, not a curated record. Lineage: Eukaryota; Metazoa; Chordata; Mammalia; Artiodactyla; Camelidae.
GGAAAAUGGGAAUACCAUCUCCUAGUAAGAUGUAGGUUCUGAGCCCCGUCCUACAUAUGGUAAAUAUUGCAUAAAUAUAGCCAGAAUUGGUAUAACUGAAGGUCUUUUUAGAAAAAAACAAGGACCUGUUUGGCUAAACUGUUCAAAAGAAGGAUUUACUGACCCACUUUUAA